UACCCCCGCUGAGAAUAGCAUAUCAGUAAGCGGAGGAAAAGAAACUAACCAGGAUUCUCCUAGUAACGGCGAGUGAACGGAGAUUAGCCCAUCACCGAAGCCCGGUGUUUUUGCAUGCAGGGCAAUGUGGUGUUGAAGCAUAUACCUGGGGUCAUGUGCCUGCCCGAAGUCCAAUUCCGAUUGUGGCUUUGGAUGUGUGCCAUUGCGGGUGAAAGUCCCGUACGGGUAGGCUGUUGUUUUAAAUGCAUGGUCCUCAGAUGUGUGUGCUUUCGAGUCGGAUUGCUUGAGAAUGCAGUCCAAAGAGGGUGGUAAACUCCAUCCAAGGCUAAAUACUGGUACGAGUCCGAUAGUAAACAAGUACCGUGAGGGAAAGUUGAAAAGUACUCUGAAGAGAGAGUAAAUAGUACGUGAAACCGAUUGCAGGGAAGCUGGUGGAGUCAAGCUUCAUGCUGGAAGAUUUGUCAUCGGGAUUUGUGUUGUGUUUGGACACUGGAUCGGUCAAUUUGGAAACAAUUGGGUGACUUCGGUUGCUCCAAGACGUUCCGGGUUGUACGUUUGGGCUGGUUUCGGUGUUCAGAUUUCGGUGAUUAAUUCUUCAUGGCAUAGAUCACGGUCGAUGGUGAUAUGUUGUGUGAUUGUCUAACUGUGCUUCGGUGGGUGCAAACUUGUCGGGUGCAGUAUGGUAGGUGUCGAGCCUGGCCUCGUGCCACGGUUGUGAUUAUAAAUGGUUUCGACCAACUGACAGUCACGUUCAAUGUUGUCGCUAUCGUUCUUGAAUGGUGCGCAAUCUGACAAUUGUGCGCUAGUGAGAACCGUGGUUCUGAGGUAGAUUUCCAUCCGACCCGUCUUGAACCACGGACCAAA
Molecule: ribosomal RNA, 864 nt
Filed under: Gussevia asota
Lineage: Eukaryota; Metazoa; Platyhelminthes; Monogenea; Dactylogyridea; Dactylogyridae
Description: eukaryotic LSU rRNA
Rfam family: Eukaryotic large subunit ribosomal RNA
Source: RNAcentral